UUUUUCUUCAUGUUUCCGCCAAUGACGGCGUUUAAGGGAUAACUGGUGACACGAAAUCGUUCGUCUCUUUGUUCAGUUACAUCGUUCAACGAUUUUAUUCGCGAGGCAAAUUAUUCUUUCGAGUCUGGAAGAUUCAAAUUAGAAUCUGUACAGAUCAGGGCUCAUGCUCAUUGAUGACUUUCUUUUUUUUUUUUCAUUCUUCUCUGGCACCGCGUCGGCGACUACAAUCUGGAACGUGGUGCUCGUCUACGGGAAACCCAGGCCUCAUUGCACCACUGUGGAAACUAGAAACCAGCCGUAAAAACUAACCCAAUAUCGGUGUCUCCGUACCUCUCUCCGUGCCUCUUCCGAGUCCUCUUUGGCCUUGCUUCGAUUCCGGUACCUGGAACCCACGCAUAUCUCUCGGCUCUCUAACUUUCCGGCUAUCGAUGCGUCCGGAAUUAUCAAGGAACUUGAAGACUAUAAAAAAGUUCAAUUUCAUUCUAAAUCAAAAAAUAAAGAGACAAGAUAAGAAACCAGCGAUGCUGGGAAAUUGAACAUCGUCCUAAAAAUUUAAACGGAAAAAAAGAAAAUUUCCACAAGUCACUUUACCUUCGAUUCGAUUUUUCGACGAAUAUCUGUUUACUUCGAAGUGGAUACAAUGGAAAUGUAGAAACACACUGACGACUCGUCGUUUCCUCGUAUCGAUGGCUUCCUGUCGCACGAAUACCGACUGUCUUCCUCUCAUCCAUACGUAUGAGACCAACUGACCAGCUGCUUUUGUCCGCCAUUUACAGCCAAACAUCUAACGAGUUCUGUGCGACACAUCUUACUCGACCAUUCCAAUAACGCUACUCGCUUCAUGGAAUGCAUUGUUUGUCGCGAUUUAGUUGUCGCACUUUAUCACAAAUAUAUUAUAAAAUUGUAUUAAAAAUAUAUUAACAGUAAUUAAAUUUCAUUCUAUGCAUCUUUUUCUAAGCAUCACGAGAUAAAAAAAAUAGAAUAUUUUCUCUAUCGUAUCUAUAUUCGAAUCCUGUUGAUUUUUCAUCGAUUUUUUUUUCUCGGUUCCUUAUACU
RNA transcript from Apis florea (little honeybee), 1055 nucleotides. RefSeq lists it as uncharacterized. The record is from RefSeq and is a predicted model, not a curated record. NCBI's taxonomy places the organism in Eukaryota, Metazoa, Arthropoda, Insecta, Hymenoptera, Apidae.